GAUGAACGCUGGCGGCGUGCCUAACACAUUCAAGUCGAACGGCGAAGUACCCUUCGGGGUGCCAAGCAGUGGCGGACGGGUGAGUAACGCGUGAGCAACCUGCCGUACAGAGGGGGAUAACACAGGGAAACUUGUGCUAAUACCGCAUAACGCAUAGGGAUCGCAUGUUUUCUAUGCCAAAGAGAAAUUGCUGUACGAUGGGCUCGCGUAUGAUUAGACAGUUGGCGGGGUAACGGCCCACCAAAUCAACGAUCAUUAGCCGAACUGAGAGGUUGAACGGCCACAUUGGAACUGAGAAACGGUCCAGACUCC
RNAcentral lists this ribosomal RNA (312 nucleotides) under uncultured Ruminococcus sp. Its description in RNAcentral is "bacterial SSU rRNA". It matches the Rfam family "Bacterial small subunit ribosomal RNA", at positions 28 to 339 of the family's 1533-position model. The record is from RNAcentral. Lineage: Bacteria; Bacillati; Bacillota; Clostridia; Eubacteriales; Oscillospiraceae.